RNAcentral lists this long non-coding RNA (947 nucleotides) under Jatropha curcas. Its description in RNAcentral is "long non-coding RNA (JCUR_LNC002723)". The record is from RNAcentral. Lineage: Eukaryota; Viridiplantae; Streptophyta; Magnoliopsida; Malpighiales; Euphorbiaceae.
GGAAAGUGAGUGUCAUUUAAUGGCAACUGGAAUUGUCGGAGACAGUAGCUUUAAUAAUGGAAACAAUGAGUUGUUAAUGUGAUGAUGGGUGAAGACAGAAAUAUUUACCUUCUCUUUAGAAACAAGAAACAAGCAUUAAGAUGUCAUCGCAAGUCACAACUUUGUUCAUACGGACAAAAAAACAUCUAGUUUCUAAGCAGUUCCAUUCCACAAAACAAAUGGUCCCAUUGAUCUUGCAGGUUCUAAAAUGGCAUUUUCUUCUAUCUUUUUCUAGUUUUCAUUUUUCAAUCCACACUUAUUGUACGUACCCUCCAUGUGACUAUACAGAAACAUUGAUGGUUACUUAUAGCUUCCUUGGCUCAAUAUAUUCAAGAAUAUUAUUUUUAGAGUGAUAUAAAAUCCUUCAUCAUUACCAACUCCAUUGAUAAGAAUUUCGGAUGUGCUUGAAAAAUAUGAAACUGGUAGACUUUACUCUUUUUAACAUGCAUUAUAAUACGAAAAGAGCUAAAAUAUAUUCUAUGCACCAAUAACUGCUGUUAAAUUUUGACUUAGAGUGCUAAACCUUCCAUUUAGAUUCUUCAUUUUGGUACACAUUAUAAAACAAUGUACUAGGGUUUGUAACCAUUCAUAUUGGUUAAGAGCAAACAAAUUAGUAGUAAUAUGCAAAAAGAUGAAAUCCUAAUUUCCAAGUAAUUACAAUUUGGCUUUAUUUGAUAAUUUAUUUUUAAAAUGUUAUUUAUAUAUCUUUUAUCCUUAAUUUCCCUUGAUGUUUAACCAUUGUUGCUAACUAAUCUUAAUUGGGCUUCUAUGACUAAUUAAUCAGCAACGUGAACCCUUCUUGCAAGCAAGUGCACCUGCUCCUGCUGUAAUUGAAGUUACAAGAGAAGACGGUCUUGCACCUAAGCUAGAUGCUUUGGCAUAACUAGAAGAAGCUCCAGCCCCUGAUG